RNA transcript from Nycticebus coucang (slow loris), 10572 nucleotides. It is a transcript of the gene named cyclin dependent kinase 12, with no coding region annotated. The transcript is spliced from 18 exons. Lineage: Eukaryota; Metazoa; Chordata; Mammalia; Primates; Lorisidae. The record is from RefSeq and is a predicted model, not a curated record.
UUUCCCCUUCUUCAGGACAGGGGAAAGGGAAUGCCCAAUUCAGAGAGACAUGGGGGCAAGAAGGACGGGAGUGGGGGAGCUUCUGGAACUUUGCAGCCGUCAUCGGGAGGUGGCAGCGCCAACAGCAGAGAGCGUCACCGCCUGGUGUCGAAGCACAAGCGGCAUAAGUCCAAGCACUCCAGAGACAUGGGAUUGGUGACCCCCGAAGCAGCAUCCUUGGGUACAAUUAUCAAACCUUUGGUGGAGUAUGAUGAUAUCAGCUCUGAUUCCGACACCUUCUCUGAUGACAUGGCCUUCAAACUAGACAGAAGGGAGAAUGAUGAACGUCGUGGAACUGAUCGGAGCGACCGCCUGCACAAACAUCGUCACCACCAGCACAGGCGUUCCCGGGACUUACUAAAAACUAAACAGACCGAAAAAGAAAAAAACCAGGAAGUCUCCAGCAAGUUGGGAUCGAUGAAGGACCGGACAUCAGGAAGUUCAAAGCGUUCAAAUGAGGAGAAUGAUGAUUAUGGAAAGGUACAGAUAGCCAAAAACAGCAGCAAGGAAUCGAGGUCAUCCAAACUCCGUAAGGAGAAGACCCGCAAAGAACGUGAAUUGAAGUCUGGGCACAAAGACCGGAAUAAAAGUCAUCGUAAAAGGGAAACACCCAAAAGUUACAAAACAGCGGACAGCCCAAAACGGAGGUCCAGGAGUCCCCACAGGAAGUGGUCUGACAGCUCCAAACAAGACGAUAGCCCUUCAGGAGCUUCUUACGGCCAAGAUUAUGACCUUAGUCCCCCAAGAUCUCAUACCUCUAGCAAUUAUGAUUCUUACAAGAAAAGUCCUGGAAGUACCUCAAGAAGGCAGUCAAUUAGCCCACCUUACAAGGAGCCUUCGGCCUACCAGUCCAGCACCCGGUCACCCAGUCCCUACAGCAGAAGACAGAGAUCUGUGAGUCCUUAUGGCAGGAGACGGUCAUCCAGCUAUGAACGAAGUGGCUCUUACAGUGGGAGAUCACCUAGUCCCUAUGGUCGAAGGCGGUCCAGUAGCCCUUUCAUGAGCAAGAGGUCUCUGAGUCGGAGUCCACUCCCCAGUAGGAAAUCCAUGAAGUCUAGAAGUAGAAGUCCUGCGUAUUCAAGACACUCAUCUUCUCAUAGUAAAAAAAAGAGAUCUGGGUCACGCAGUCGUCAUUCCAGUAUCUCACCAGUUAGGCUUCCACUAAAUUCCAGCCUGGGAGCUGAACUCAGUAGGAAAAAGAAGGAAAGAGCAGCUGCUGCUGCUGCAGCAAAAAUGGAUGGAAAAGAAUCCAAAGGUUCACCUAUAUUUUUGACUAAAAAAGAGAACAGUUUGAUAGAGGCUAAAGAUUCAAGCGUGGAGUCUAAGAAGUUACCCAGAAGUGUAAAAUUGGAAAAAUCUGCCCCAGAUACUGAACUGGUGAAUGUAACACAUCUAAACACAGAGGUCAAAAAUUCUUUAGAUAUAGGGAAAGUAAAGUUGGAUGAGAACUCUGAUAAGCAUCCUGUUCUAAAAGAUUUGAAAGCACAGGGAACAAGAGACUCUAAACCUAUAGCACUGAAAGAGAAGAUUGUUACUCCAAAGGAGACAGAGACAUCGGAAAAGGAGACCCUGCCACCUUUCCCCACAAUUGCUACUCCCCCACCCCCUUUACCAACUACUAUCCCUCCACCUAAGACACCCCCUUUGCCACCUUUGCCUCCACUACCAGCUGUUUCACAGCAGCCACCUCUGCCUCCUCCCCAAGUAGCAUUUAGUCAGGUUCCUGCUUCCAGUACUUCAACUUUGCCUCCUUCUACUCACCCAAGGACAUCUGCUCUAUCCUCUCAGGCAAAUUCUCAGCCCCCUGUACAGGUUUUUGUGAAGACUCAAGUAUCUGUAACAGCUGCUAUUCCACACCUGAAAACUUCAACAUUGCCUCCACUGCCCCUCCCUCCCUUAUUACCUGGAGAUGAUGACAUGGACAGUCCAAAAGAAACUCUUCCUUCAAAACCAGUAAAGAAAGAAAAGGAACAGAGGACACGUCAUUUACUUACAGAUCUUCCUCUCCCUCCAGAGCUCCCUGGUGGAGAUCCAUCUCCCCCAGACUCUCCUGAACCAAAGGCUAUCUCACCACCUCAGCAACCAUAUAAAAAGAGACCAAAAAUUUGUUGUCCUCGUUAUGGAGAAAGAAGACAAACAGAAAGUGACUGGGGAAAACGCUGUGUUGACAAGUUUGACAUCAUUGGGAUUAUUGGAGAGGGAACCUAUGGCCAAGUAUAUAAAGCCAAGGACAAAGAUACAGGAGAACUAGUGGCUCUGAAGAAGGUGAGACUAGACAAUGAGAAAGAGGGCUUCCCAAUCACAGCCAUUCGUGAGAUCAAAAUUCUUCGUCAGUUAAUCCAUCAAAGUGUUGUUAACAUGAAGGAGAUUGUCACAGAUAAACAAGAUGCACUGGAUUUCAAGAAAGACAAAGGUGCUUUUUACCUUGUGUUUGAGUAUAUGGACCAUGACUUAAUGGGACUGCUCGAAUCUGGUUUGGUGCACUUUUCUGAGGACCAUAUCAAGUCGUUCAUGAAACAGCUAAUGGAAGGAUUGGAUUAUUGUCACAAAAAGAAUUUCCUGCAUCGGGAUAUUAAGUGUUCUAACAUUUUGCUGAACAACAGUGGGCAAAUCAAACUAGCAGAUUUUGGACUUGCUCGGCUCUAUAACUCUGAAGAGAGUCGUCCUUAUACAAACAAAGUCAUUACUCUAUGGUACCGACCUCCGGAACUACUGCUGGGGGAAGAGCGUUAUACACCAGCCAUAGAUGUUUGGAGCUGCGGAUGCAUCCUUGGGGAACUGUUCACAAAGAAGCCUAUUUUUCAAGCUAAUCUGGAACUGGCUCAGCUAGAACUGAUCAGCCGACUUUGUGGUAGCCCUUGUCCAGCUGUGUGGCCUGAUGUUAUAAAGCUGCCCUACUUCAACACCAUGAAGCCGAAGAAGCAAUAUAGAAGGCGUCUACGAGAAGAAUUUUCUUUCAUUCCUUCAGCAGCACUUGAUUUAUUGGACCACAUGCUGACACUGGAUCCUAGUAAACGUUGCACAGCUGAACAGACCCUACAGAGUGACUUCCUUAAAGAUGUUGACCUCAGCAAAAUGGCUCCCCCAGAUCUCCCUCACUGGCAAGAUUGCCAUGAAUUAUGGAGUAAGAAACGAAGACGUCAGCGACAAAGUGGUGUUGUGGUGGAAGAGCCACCUCCAUCCAAAGCUUCUCGGAAAGAAACUACCUCAGGGAUAAGUGCUGAGCCUGUGAAGAACAGCAGCCCAGCACCACCUCAACCUGCUCCCAGCAAGGUGGAGCCUGGAGCUGGGGAUGCAAUAGGCCUUGGUGACAUCACACAACAGCUGAAUCAAAGUGAAUUGGCAGUGUUAUUGAACCUGCUACAGAGCCAAACUGACUUGAGCAUCCCUCAAAUGGCACAGCUGCUUAAUAUCCACUCCAACCCAGAGAUGCAGCAGCAGCUGGAAGCCCUGAACCAAUCCAUUAGUGCCCUGACGGAAGCUGCUUCCCAGCAGCAGGACUCAGAGCCCGUAGCCCCAGAGGAGUCUUUAAAAGAAGCACCCCCUGCCCCAGUGGCCCUGCCUUCAGUAGAACAGACAACCCCUGAAGCUUCUAGCACACCAGCUGAUGUGCAGAAUAUGUUGGCAGUUCUCUUGAGUCAGCUGAUGAAAACCCAAGAGCCAGCAGGCAGCCUGGAGGAAAACAACAGUGACAAGAACAGUGGGCCACAGGGGCCCGGAAGAACUCCCACAAUGCCACAGGAGGAGGCAGCAGCAUGUCCUCCUCACAUUCUUCCACCAGAGAAGAGGCCCCCUGAGCCCCCCGGACCUCCACCGCCGCCACCUCCACCCCCUCUGGUUGAAGGCGAUCUUUCCAGCGGCCCCCAGGAGUUGAAUCCAGCCGUGACAGCCGCCUUGCUGCAACUUUUAUCCCAGCCUGAAGGAGAGCCUCCUGGCCACCUGCCACAUGAGCACCAGGCCUUGAGACCAAUGGAGUACUCCACCCGACCCCAUCCAAACAGGACUUACGGAAACACUGAUGGGCCUGAAACAGGGUUCAGUGCCACUGACACUGAUGAACGCAGUUCUGGUCCAGCCUUGACAGAAUCCUUGGUCCAGACCCUGGUGAAGAACAGGACCUUCUCAGGCUCUGUGAGCCACCUUGGGGAGUCCAGCAGUUACCAGGGCACAGGGUGGCAGCAACAGCAGGGAUGGCUCCCAAGGAAUUCGAUGACAUCCAUCAGUUACCUCACUUUGAGAGCCUGGCAAAGUCAGUCUCUUUCACAGAAUCUAAAGCCAGUUUCAAUGGGAGAUUUCACCUGUCCCAACAUUGUGUGAGACACCAGAAGUAAAGGCCUGCAAGCCUUUUCCUCCAUCCCUAAUGCCCAGACAGGGCAGGUCACCAGCCUCCAGCGCCCACCCAACCCUUCUCGUCUGCCGAUGAAACUAAGACCCAGAGAGGGAAAAUCAAUUGAAUGCUAUCCUGGAAUUGCUUUGUGUUCCUGGAUUUGCAGAAUUCCUGGGAACACAGGGAAAGGAAAGGGUCUUACCAUGUUGCCUGGGAUAGAGUGCCGUGGCUUCGUCAUAUCUCACAGCAACCUCAAACUCCUAUGCUCAAGUAAUCCUCCUGCCUUAGCCUCUCAUGUAGCUGGAACUACAGGUGUGCACCACCACGUCCAGCUAAUUUUUUGCUAUUUUUUGUAGAGAUAGGGUCUCACUUAUGCUCAGACUGGUCUCAAACUCCUGGCUUUAAGUAAUCAUGCUGCUUUGGCUUCCUAAAGUGCUAGGAUUAUAGGUGUGAACCGCCUACCUGGCCUCUAGGUGUUUUUCUAAGGAAUAGAACAGGGCCUCCUCCUCCCCAAUCCUAUCAGGCCUGCCUCCCACUUUCAGGUUGAAAGAUCUUUAGCCUGGAGUCAGAGCCUAUAGUCCAGAAGAAACUGAGCCUUUAAGGGUAAGAGGGGUAGACUUGAAAUGAGUGGAAGGUCUGAGAUAGCAGUACCCAGACUCUAGAGAAAAGAAAUUAGGCUCACUAUUGGCCUAGGUUUUAGCUUUCUUCCUUUCCCCUCAGUUUUUCCCACUCACUGGGGAGAGAUCUGGAUGUCUGAACCUCUCACCUUGACACCUUGAAGUUUGUUAGGUAGGUCCCUUCUCUGUAGCUGCCAAAGCUCUGGCGAAGGAGAGAAAAGGCAGAGAAAGGGGUAGACAGAUAUGGCAGUGACAUGGUGUCCAUAACCACCCAAGGAGAGAGGCCAAGGAGAAGAAACUGACCAGCAAGCAAGCCAAGAGAAGAUGCCUACUCCUGAAACAGCAUCCUUACCCCAUCCUCUUCUGCUCCCCGUCUCACAUGUUGACAAGGCUGUGUGACCAAGUGUGCCAGCUUUCCUGGCUGUGAUCCUGCUCUGCUGUGCAAGCAGCCCAGAACAGAGCACCUCCUGGGGUCUCUCAUACUCCUUUGCUCACUUUUCUUAAUGUAUCUGUGUUGCAGAUUCCUAGAAAUGAAGAAAGGGGCUAUGGCCCUGAAGUAGGAAGAUGAUGGUCUCUGGAGCCCGUUGGGUACCUAGCUCCUGGAGAAUGAAGGGAGGUAUAAGGCUGCUGGCAGCUCAGCCAAGCUCAAGGUUCUGGUGACUCACAGCAAUGGGGAUGGCUCCCCUGCCUGCUUCAAGGGCUCCCUAGGUAUUGGCAGGGGAGGAAAGCUGUGCCAGGAAUAAGGAAGGAAACAAUGGAAAGGAAUGGGGUCCAGGCCUGUUAGAGCUCUCUUUUGCCCCAUUUUUUCCUCUUCUGUGGACAAAGGUCUCACAUCUGGACUAUGGAAACAAGGGGACACUGGGCAUUCCUGGUGAGGAAAGGAUUGGAGAGGCCAGUUAUUCUUGUCCUGCUCUAUCCAUUGUCUGGACAAUCACACGUGUUGGGGCAGCUCAGUUCCUCCUGGCACCUUCCAGAGGAGGGGCUUUCUUGGAAGAUACAACUACUCCUCCUUGCCCUCCCUUGCCUACUCAGACUCUGGGUACCCAGUGAACACCACAGUUUUAGAAAUAAGAAAAACAAGCACUGUUACAAAACUAAAACCUGGUCUUAGUACUUUCCUCCCUAGAAACAGAUACCCGAUACAUGAGAGGAACAGGUAGGGACUCCUGGGUUGGCUGAUCCAAGGUGUUGGUACUGACUAGGAGGUAGGUGCAGAACCAUAGAUUUUCAAAAGUGCUGAUUCCCUCCUUCCUUAAAUGUCAUGUGGGCAAUGUACAUCUUCUUCAUUCUUUCUGAAUUGAGGAUAAUAGGAUACUGUGUGUUUGAGAUCACAACAGGAGAAAGGCCAGAAGGUUGACCAGGAGAACGAUUCAUGACUGUGACCACGGUCCCAGGGGCCUGUGACUAGAAAUGACAAAGAGAAAUAGGGAUAUUGAUGCUAGUGUAUCCAGACACAUAAUAUAAUAAACACUCCUACCUUUAACUUCAGAGAAGGAUGGGCUGAGUUCUGUGGCAGAGCCUGAGUUAUUAUUCACCUAUUUUUUUUUUCCUUGAGACAGAGCCUCACUUUGUCGCCUUUGGUAGAGUGUCUGUCAUCUGUUCCCUAGACUCUUCUUACUCUCCUCUCCUCCCAGCUCCCACCUGAGAGCCACCUUUAAUUGAACUCUUUCCGGUGAAUCUCACAGCAACCUCAAACUCUUGGGCUCAAGUGAUUCUCUUGCCUCAGCCUCCCAAAUAAUAAUAGCGCCUGACUAUUUUAUUGUAUUUAUUUCUUUUUUGAGAUGAGGUCUCACUCUGGCUCAGGCUGGUCAUAAACCCGUGAGCUCAGGUAAUUCACCUGCCUCAGCCUUCCAAGUUCUAGGAUUAUAGGCAUGAGCCACUGCAACCGGCCAUUAUUCAUCUAUUUCUGUCCCUUUCAUUUCUGGUAGCUCUGCUUGACUAUCAGGGUGAGAGGCCCUCUGCCCAGCUGCUCCUGGUGAUCCAGAGAUAAUUUUGGUUGGAGAAAGGGACAGACCAGCUGCUCUUCAUGCAGGGAGAUGAGAGCAGCACCACUCUCCCAGCUCUCCCUGGAAGCAUCAGAAGCUCAGGGUCUCCUGCUGAAACUCCCCAUAUAAAGCUCAGUCCUGAACUAAACCAACAUAUCAACUGGCCCUGGGUAUAAAAGUAGUACUGUGAGGGAACCUUGGGUACACCAGGUGGAAAGUAGGCAGUUAUGGGGCGAGUUCAGUUUCCGGAGAAAUGCAAGAAUCACUCUAAGAUACCACAGGCUCCCUAAUCCUCUUUUAUCUCCAUCUUUCUCUGCUUGCCUUUUCUUUCACCUCCUUUUAGCUACUUUAUCUUCUGACUACUUUAUCCCCUCCAGUCUGAGAGGAUAUGGUAGUUGUCUAUACUCUUUUUCACUCGCCUCCUCUCCUCCCAGCUCUCACCUGAGAGCUACCCCUACUUGAACUCUUUCCAGUAAUCACCAGGAUCCCUAGCCUCUGCUGCCCCAUGACCCUGAAAAUUCCACUGGAGUGGAGAGGACUCAUCAGUCUUCAUCCUUCCCCACAUAUAUACUCAGGCCAAGACUGAUGUGUCUGCUGCCAUAAGUAAAGGGCCAUACCCUGAAGCAGAGGGCAGCCCUAGGGGUGCCGUGGGGUCCUGGCACUAAAUGCGUGUAUGCCCGUGCAUUGGGCACACUGGUUUAUUAGUGUUAUUUCAGCAUUGUGAUGCAGAGAGAGUAAGUGUAACAGCUGCUCCUUGCUUGCAGUGUUUAUUGUUACCUAGAGACAACCUCCUGGCUUUUUCCCAGCUCCCCCCCCAGCCUAACCCCCUCCCUGCCAACAAUCCUGCUCUCCCCACACUGAUGGGAAAUUUAUAGCUUGCCCAUACCAUGCUUUUAACCCUCUCUUGUCCAUAGGGUAGAUGGGCCGAGGAAAGCCCAAAUGAGCAAUGGGCGUGCUUGGACCUGACAGGACAGAAUAAUGUGUGGAGGAAGGAGAGAGAAGUGACAUCCUUCCCCCUUCAUUGAAUGUGUCCAAUAUUAAGCCCCAGUUGCCCUCUUGUCUCUUAUGUAGGGAGAAAAGAAGAAGUACCUUUGGACUUAGCUUUGAGAUUCUGGAAGAGCUCCUUUAGACCUAGCCUUGGGAUCCUGGCAUCCUCUUUACAAAAUUAUUCUCUUCCUAGGUAUUUCUAAGUCUUGGAUUGGGUUGCCUUGGCCUGAGCAAAUAUAGCGAGGUAAUAUGGAUAUGGAGGGGUAAAUACAGGAUGGCAGAAUCUCUAGCCCACUUCUUUAUGUCUGAGACAGAGGUAGCUAUAGAGAUGUCAUAUUGAGACAAAAAAGCAGCUCUAGCUUGAAAGAUGCUGGCCAGACCUCCACAGCUGGGUAGAUGUCAAACAUGAAGCCUGCCGCUGAGCCUGGUGGAAAACUAUCCACCUUAACUUAGAGCCUGGCACGAAGGUCGUAAGAGACUCCCAGGACGUUCUCCAAGCUGGUCUUUUUGGUCCGAUUAGGCUACUCCUUUCUGCAUGUCCUUCCUGGCUCACUUUCUCCUGCAUAUCUUUUGGGUUGAUACCUUGGGACAGAUCGAAGAGACUGAAGAAACUGGGGUAUCCUAAUAAUGGCUUCAAGAAAGCUGAGGAAAGAGAAGCCCCCUCUGUGCCUUGACCAAAGACCUUUCAUGGAGAGGCACCAUAUCAUCUACUCACCAUCUUCAUUAGAAACAGAAGAGAUCAGGUUUUAGCAGCAUGUGGGAAAACUUACAGGAUGAAAAACUUUAGAAUGAGUCUGCUACUCUUUAGAGCAGUGGUUCUCAACCUGUGGGUCGUGACCCACAGGAACUGUAGUAAAGGGUCGUGGCAUUAGGAAGGUUGAGAACCACUGCUUUAGAGACUUUUCUUCUGCCUACAGUGGGUUUAAGUCUGUGUCUACCCAAGGAGUAUUGGAAGAACAGGGUUACUUUUCCAGGCCUCCUCCAGACAGCCUCAGCACACUUUCCGCAUAGUGCACCUCUCCUCAGUCCUUCUAAAUAUAGUAUGUGUGGUGGUCAGAUUAAAAGUUUCAAAGGCAGGCAGCUCUGGGUUUCAUUGCCAAUGUUGCCACUUACCAGUUAUACUACCUUGGUAAGUCACUUAAUCUCUUUGAGUCCUAGUUUCCUUGUCUGUGAAAUGCAGACAAACAACUACUACUUAAGGCUAUGAGAAUUUCGUGAAAUAAUGUGUGUAAAGCACCUAGGAUAGUGCUUGAUAGAUGCUCAGUCAACAGUGGUUGAUGCAGUAGGGCACUGCUACUUUUAUGAAGUCAUAUGAUUCCCCUAAGGUUAUAGGCUAACUGUGUGUAAGUACAGAUGCUGUCCAUCACAUAGAAUGUCCAUAGUUUACUAUGUGAUGUGGAGUGUAGGUGGCAGUCCCCUGGAAAGGAAGUAGCUCCAGUCACUUGAUUCAGACUCCCCAAGAAAUCAGUGCCCCCCAUUCUCAUGCCUCUCAAGCCAGGAGCACAUUAGCCACUGUUCUGCAUAGAAAUACAACUUCAUCCAGGAUGGAGCUGGGAAAGAUAGUCUUUUAGAUAACAACAACUGGUGCCAGCCACAUACACCAAGGCUGACGGGUUCAAAUCCGGCCCAGACCAACUAAACAAUGACAACUGCAACCAAAAAAAAAUAGCCAGGUGUUGUGGCGGGCACCUGUAAUCCCAGCUACUUGGGAGGCUGAGGCAAGAGAAUCGCUUAAGCCCAAGAGUUUGAGGUUGCUGUGAGCUGUGAUGCCACAGCACUCUACCGAGGGCAACAUAAUAAGACUCUGUCUCAAAAAAAAAAUAAAAGGCGGUGCCUGUGGCUCAGUGAGUAGGGCGCCGGCCCCAUAUGCCGGGGGUGGCGGGUUCAAACCCAGCCCCCGCCAAACUGCAACAAAAAGAAUAGCCGGGUGUUGUGGCGGGCGCCUGUAGUCCCAGCUGCUUGGGAGGCUGAGGCAAGAGAAUUGCGUAAGCACAAGAGUUAGAGGUUGCUGUGAGCCGUGUGAAGUCAUGGCACUCUACCCGAGGGCGGGACAGUGAGACUCUGUCUCUACAAAAAAAAAAAAAGAAGAAGAAAAUAGAUAACAACAACUAGCAUUUGCCAACCACUUUAUAGUUCGUCAAAUAUAUGUAGCUGCAUUAGCUCUUUUGAUGGCUGGCACAACCCAAUGAACAAAAGAUAACCAGGCACAGUGGCUCGUGCUUAUAAUCUCAGUACUUUGAGAGGCUGAGGAUUGCCAGGAGUUUGAGACCAGCCUGGGCAACAUAGUGAGAACUCGUCUUUACAAAAAAAUAAGAAAAAUUAGCCUGGCAUGGUGUUGCACACCUGUAGUCCAGCUACUCAGGAGGCCACUUGAGCCCAAGAGUUCAAAGCUGCAGUGAGCUCUGAUUGUGUCACUGUACUCCAACCUGGGCGACAUGGUGAGACACCCCCCCCAUCCUUAAAAAAACAAAGCAAAGGGCAGCGCCUGUGGCUCCAAGGGGUAGAGCACUGGCCCCAUAUAUGCCGGAGGUGGCGGGUUCAAACCCAGCCCCGGCCAAAAACUGCAAAAAAAAAAAAAAAAAACCAAAGCAAAAUGUCCCAGAGAACUAUUGCCUAU